UCCCCCCCAUCUUGACCGACCCCUGCCUUCGCCACCAAAAACGGACUCCGCUGGCUUCUGCUGGCCUGUCUCGCUCAAAGCACUCUACUGAGUACGAAAGCUCAAGUAACUCUCAUCUCCUGCCUGGUCCGCGCCAUUAUCCCCUUGAUGAGGAGCGUGAACGCGCAGCUGCACCCGGACACAGCGGCCACCUGAAUAACUAUUGCUCUCGAUUAAUGAUUGCUCCGAGAGGGCUGCCCUACCAUUUCUCACUUCUUUUCGUCUUUGAAUUGUUCUUAAGUGGCUUAACAGACUACAUCCGUUAACUUCUCGGAAGCCCUUUUGUAAAGUCAUUCUGAUCGUGCUGUUUGAUUCCGUUGCUUAGGUAAUAAGCACGCCUGGGUGGUUCUUGCCCCCUACUGGCUGACCGUCCCGCAUGUGAGCCAACCGAGAGCAGUUAAGGUUAAAGUUGGUGUACUCCAAGAAAAAGUAUGGAAGGGGAAAGGGGCAUAGCGAGGAUAAUUAAGGCUCUUCCAACCUAGCGUUUGUACACAUAUAUAGAUGUAUUAUACGUGUGUUCAUACAUACGCAAUAUAAACAUGUCAAAUGGGCAGUAUCUUUAAGCUAUCACUUGUCUUUUUAAUAUAUUUUUAGUUAACACAGUAACUCAUAUUUAUGGGUACAGUGUGACAUUUCAAUACAUGUAUACUUUGGGGUGUCAUUCCCAGAAUAUCUUGCGGGUUUUUUUGUUUUUGUUUUUGUUUUGGUACCGGGGAUCGAACUCGGGUCUUUGCGCUUGCGCAGCAGGCGGCAAAACCACUGAGCUACAUCCCCGGCCCUGCUUCCCAGAAUAUCUUAUCGGGUGUGUGGGUUUGUGUGUGAAUGUGUGUGUGUGUGUGUGUGUGUGUGUGUGUAUAUUUUUUUUUUUCUUUUUUUUUUUUUCCGACCGGGGACCAAACUCGGGACCUUUCGAGGCAGGUGCGGUACCACUGAGCUAAAUCACCGGCCCUCAGACCAUCUUAUUUUGAUACAAAGUCUCGCUCAGACUGGCCUCAAAUUUGAGAUCCUCCCUCAGCCUUCUAAGUAGCUGGGAUUCCGG
This 1078-nucleotide long non-coding RNA is filed under the name Heterocephalus glaber (naked mole-rat). Its description in RNAcentral is "lncRNA (ENSHGLG00000033341.1)". Lineage: Eukaryota; Metazoa; Chordata; Mammalia; Rodentia; Bathyergidae. The record is from RNAcentral.